Molecule: ribosomal RNA, 435 nt
Filed under: uncultured bacterium
Lineage: Bacteria
Description: bacterial SSU rRNA
Rfam family: Bacterial small subunit ribosomal RNA
Source: RNAcentral
GGAGGCAGCAGUGGGGAAUAUUGCACAAUGGGCGCAAGCCUGAUGCAGCAACGCCGUGUGAGUGAAGAAGGUUUUCGGAUCGUAAAACUCUGUCCUAAGGGAAGAAACAAAUGACGGUACCCUUAGGAGGAAGCCCCGGCUAACUACGUGCCAGCAGCCGCGGUAAUACGUAGGGGGCAAGCGUUAUCCGGAAUCACUGGGCGUAAAGGGUGCGUAGGCGGCUUAGCAAGCCAGGGGUGAAAGGCAUUGGCUCAACCAAUGUAAGCCUUUGGAACUGUUAAGCUUGAGUGCAGGAGAGGUAAGUGGAAUUCCUAGUGUAGAGGUGAAAUUCGUAGAUAUUAGGAGGAACACCAGUGGCGAAGGCGACUUACUGGACUGUAACUGACGCUGAUGCACGAAAGCGUGGGUAGCGAACAGGAUUAGAUACCCUGGUAG